Molecule: transfer RNA, 76 nt
Filed under: Pseudomonas syringae ICMP 13102
Lineage: Bacteria; Pseudomonadati; Pseudomonadota; Gammaproteobacteria; Pseudomonadales; Pseudomonadaceae
Description: tRNA-Val
Rfam family: tRNA
About the family: Transfer RNA (tRNA) molecules are approximately 80 nucleotides in length. Their secondary structure includes four short double-helical elements and three loops (D, anti-codon, and T loops). Further hydrogen bonds mediate the characteristic L-shaped molecular structure. tRNAs have two regions of fundamental functional importance: the anti-codon, which is responsible for specific mRNA codon recognition, and the 3' end, to which the tRNAs corresponding amino acid is attached (by aminoacyl-tRNA synthetases). tRNAs cope with the degeneracy of the genetic code in two manners: having more than one tRNA (with a specific anti-codon) for a particular amino acid; and 'wobble' base-pairing, i.e. permitting non-standard base-pairing at the 3rd anti-codon position.
Source: RNAcentral
AGGCACGUAGCUCAGUUGGUUAGAGCACUCCUUGACAUGGUGGGGGUCGUUGGUUCGAGUCCAAUCGCGCCUACCA